Molecule: long non-coding RNA, 250 nt
Filed under: Hordeum vulgare
Lineage: Eukaryota; Viridiplantae; Streptophyta; Magnoliopsida; Poales; Poaceae
Description: long non-coding RNA (HVUL_LNC012791)
Source: RNAcentral
CCCGGCCUCUGCAUCAUGAUGAUGCAUGCAGCCAUUUUAUUUAAUCGCAAAGGUUGAACCGUAGUGCAAGGUACAUAAACAGCCAGAAGUCUACCGAAAAAGAAAAAUAAAUACAUGCCAACAUGGGCUAAAUCAAGCUCAGACUAAGAUGCCUAUACACCUAGCCUGUUAGUGUGCAGCCAUACAUAUCGGUUGAAGAUGUCUUGCACUCCAUUAAGCCACGUCCCAAAUAACAUGUUCAUACUUAAUG